RNAcentral lists this ribosomal RNA (430 nucleotides) under bacterium. RNAcentral's name for it is "partial 16S ribosomal RNA". It matches the Rfam family "Bacterial small subunit ribosomal RNA", at positions 355 to 776 of the family's 1533-position model. The record is from RNAcentral.
UGGGGAAUAUUGGACAAUGGGGGGAACCCUGAUCCAGCCAUGCCGCGUGUGUGAAGAAGGCCUUUUGGUUGUAAAGCACUUUAAGCGAGGAGGAGGCUACCGAGAUUAAUACUCUUGGAUAGUGGACGUUACUCGCAGAAUAAGCACCGGCUAACUCUGUGCCAGCAGCCGCGGUAAUACAGAGGGUGCAAGCGUUAAUCGGAUUUACUGGGCGUAAAGCGCGCGUAGGUGGCCAAUUAAGUCAAAUGUGAAAUCCCCGAGCUUAACUUGGGAAUUGCAUUCGAUACUGGUUGGCUAGAGUAUGGGAGAGGAUGGUAGAAUUCCGGGUGUAGCGGUGAAAUGCGUAGAGAUCUGGAGGAAUACCGAUGGCGAAGGCAGCCAUCUGGCCUAAUACUGACACUGAGGUGCGAAAGCAUGGGGAGCAAACAGG